Salvia hispanica is the source of this 373-nucleotide non-coding RNA. Lineage: Eukaryota; Viridiplantae; Streptophyta; Magnoliopsida; Lamiales; Lamiaceae. The record is from RefSeq and is a predicted model, not a curated record.
GCAAAGGCUGUGGCUUUAGUGAUGGAUUAGAGGUGUGAGGUUGUCAAAGCUGUCUCCCGGGUACUUUAGAGCCGUCGCCGGAGCUGUCCAGCCGGGUGAAAGAAAAGGCUUGGCUGCCUUGCUGCUGCUUUGAGACGUGGGCCAUGCUAUCCCGGGCUCGACGGCUCGUUCGGAUAUGGCGCGGUGAUAGUGCAGCGUGGGCUCGGGAAAAGAAGUCCAAGUGCAAGCUACCCUAGACUUUAUUUCCUUGAGCUUUUGGUUCAUUCAAGAGUAUUGUAACAUUAAUAUCCCAUCCCAUCCUUUUGUAAGACCAUCAUGAACUUCCAAAGAAACAAAUUUUUGGGCAUUAUGUGGACCUUUUCUUUCGGGAACA